Molecule: long non-coding RNA, 708 nt
Filed under: Monodelphis domestica (gray short-tailed opossum)
Lineage: Eukaryota; Metazoa; Chordata; Mammalia; Didelphimorphia; Didelphidae
Description: lncRNA (ENSMODG00000030424.2)
Source: RNAcentral
GUGGAAGUGGCAGUUAGCUGCUAUCAAUCCUGAGACAGCCUGAGGAAAAGGUCUGAUCAAGACUUUCUCCUGAGAAAAGUCUUACACCUUUCUCCUGGUGACUGUACAACUUAUCUCCUCCCCCCCCCCCAAUUCCCAGCUGAAGUGACGAGCUUGAGAAGACACAAAGCAGCUGACAAGAUCACCUCACAGUUCCUGGUAUUCUAGUUCUGGGUACUUCUCUCCUUUGGAAAAUUACGGUCAUGCCACAUUUAUCCCUACAAGUGACCAAGUUCCUAGAAGAAUAUCUUCUGCACACAAUUUGCCUCCUAAAUAUUUACUGAAUAGCUAGAAUCAAAUGGCAAGUAUUCUGCUGGUUUUGAAUGAGAAUGGAAAAGAAUGGAAGCAAGGAAGAUUGGAAAGGAUCUUCUCUGCUAUUUUAAGAGAAAAUAUACUACCUAAUGUAUGGAGAACAAGAAAGAAGCCUUCUAAUCCCUUCUUCCAUUCCGGGUGAUAAUCCAAAAGAGGAAGAUAAUAAAGGAUAUGGCACUUUCAUUUAUGCAAAGAUUUUUCUCUUAAUUCUGAAAUAUCCAUGCAACCUUGCAAUGAAGAAGAAAAAGUUACAAAAGAAUAGUCCAAGGAACCUAAUAAACACAUUAUUCAAUUAAUCACUCAACAAAUAUCAUUGUGUGCAUUUUGUGUCAGAUACUGUGCUAGGUGUUAAGAGGG